AUGUACAUAAAAUUUGUGAAGAUGUAUGAAGUUAUAUCUUCGAGACAAAGAUUGUAGAAUGUUUCAACUUUUUCCUAUUUGUAUAACCGGAAAUCACUUUUAAUUUAUUUAUUUACAAAAGAGAGUUCUGCUAAAUUUGUAAACACGCGCGUUUACGCAACUCUCCUUUCUCUUUUCUUCUUCUUCGUACGUAUCUCUUGCGUAUACAAUUUACCGAGUACAAUCACUUGGAAUGAGUUUUGUAAAAAAAAACACGGAAAACGACGGGAUCGACAUUUCUAUUUGAACGAUUAUAUAAAUCGGAUCGGUUUACAUUAAUUAGAGAGAAUUAAAAUUUAAAUCUGAUUAAAAGCGCGUGUUCGAAAAAGAAAAAGAAUAUGAAUUUUUAUGCAAAGAAAUUCAUGUAACUUGGUGGAGACUAUAGUUUUUCCUCUUACGCAUGCCGGAAGAAUCAUUCAUCUUCCACAGCUUACGUACGGUGUCACAGUCGAUUGCGAGAGAUCGUAGGUAAAAGCAGCCGAGCUCGGAACGCUUUCUACAAUUAAUUACAACGCACGAUAGCGUCCUCUACGGUGGUCCUUAAUUUGUCGCUACAUCAAACGCAAAUUGAUUAUCAACUGGUGCCACUGGUGGCCGCUAAACAUUCGCCACGAGUCGUUAAUCUCGCACGAAACGUUUCUCCUCAUUCUCGAACCGAGUCCGACCACCGUACGUAUCAUGAGUCACGUCUCCUCUGAAUCGCGUCAUUAGUUCGUUGUAAUCUUCCACCAGUCUCCCUCCCCCUCUCUCUCUCUUGCAAAUAAAAUAAGAAAAGAUAGAGAGA
This is a long non-coding RNA of Apis dorsata (giant honeybee), 823 nucleotides long. RefSeq lists it as uncharacterized. Lineage: Eukaryota; Metazoa; Arthropoda; Insecta; Hymenoptera; Apidae. The record is from RefSeq and is a predicted model, not a curated record. The transcript is spliced from 2 exons.